RNAcentral lists this ribosomal RNA (468 nucleotides) under uncultured bacterium. RNAcentral describes it as "partial 16S ribosomal RNA". It matches the Rfam family "Bacterial small subunit ribosomal RNA", at positions 28 to 507 of the family's 1533-position model. The record is from RNAcentral.
GACGAACGCUGGCGGCGUGCUUAACACAUGCAAGUCGAACGGAAAGGCCCUGCUUUUGUGGGUUGCUCGAGUGGCGAACGGGUGAGUAACACGUGAGUAACCUGCCCUUGACUUUGGGAUAACUUCAGGAAACUGGGGCUAAUACCGGAUAGGAGCUCCUGCUGCAUGGUGGGGGUUGGAGAGUUUCGGCGGUUGGGGCUGGACUCGCGGCUUAUCAGCUUGUUGGUGGGGUAGUGGCUUACCAAGGCUUUGACGGGUAGCCGGCCUGGGAGGGUGACCGGCCACAUUGGGACUGCGAUACGGCCCAGACUCCUACGGGAGGCAGCAGUGGGGAAUCUUGCACAGUGGGCGGAAGCCUGAUGAAGCAGCGCCGCGUGCGGGAUGCCGGCCUUCGGGUUGUAAACCGCUUUCGCCUGUGCCGAAGCGUGAGUGACGGUAAUGGGUAAAGAAGCACCGGCUAACUACGUG